UUUAACAUUGCUGAAAGACAUGAGCUAACGGUUUUAGUCUGAUUUUAAUAGAGAGCGUUUUGCUGCUAUUUCUACUGGUCAAACAGAUGAUCGCCUUAUUUUAUUGGAG
RNAcentral lists this transfer RNA (109 nucleotides) under Leeuwenhoekiella blandensis MED217. RNAcentral's name for it is "tRNA-OTHER". The record is from RNAcentral. Lineage: Bacteria; Pseudomonadati; Bacteroidota; Flavobacteriia; Flavobacteriales; Flavobacteriaceae.